ACUAAAUAGGAUUCCCUCAGUAAUGGCGAAUGAACAGGGAUAAGCUCAGCAUGGAAAUCGGGGCCUGUGGCCUUGAAUUGUAGUCUCGAGAUGUACCGCCAACGGAGGCGCAGAUGUAAGCCUCUUGGAAAAGAGCAUCAACGAGGGUGAGAGUCCCGUUUGUCAUCUGCAGUCCCCCGUGCACGGUGUACUUUCUAAAGAGUCACGUUCCUCGGGAUUGGAGCGCAAAGUGGGUGGUAAAUUUCAUCUAAAGCUAAAUAUAGGUUCGAGACCGAUAGCAAACAAGUACCAUGAGGGAAAGGUGAAAAGGACUUUGAAAAGAGAGUUAAAAGUGCCUGAAAUUGCUGAAAGGGAAGCGAAUGGAACCAGUGCUUCUUGGCAAGAUUGGUGCGUGCUAAUGUGAUUUCCUGCUGCUUCAGCGCAAGCGUUGCAGUGGGCUUUGAUCAGGACGCGCGUGUUGUUUCUUGCCUUGUGUGUCAACGUCAGUUCUCGAUCGAGGAAAACGCCAGGGACAUGGUAGCUUGCCCCCGGGUGGGUGAAUGUGCUUGGUUGAACUCAUUUGUGAACUGGUUCUUGCGUGUCUGGUUGCAGUGCCCUGCAUCCCUGUGACUCCAUGGGGAGCUCUCGCUCCUUUCAUGGUUGGAGCGGGUGAUCAGGACAUCUCCCUGACACAACGACGCUGACUAAAUGGUUCUAUUC
This 699-nucleotide ribosomal RNA is filed under the name Heterocapsa claromecoensis. Its description in RNAcentral is "partial large subunit ribosomal RNA". It matches the Rfam family "Eukaryotic large subunit ribosomal RNA", at positions 64 to 645 of the family's 3401-position model. The record is from RNAcentral. Lineage: Eukaryota; Dinophyceae; Peridiniales; Heterocapsaceae.